RNAcentral lists this long non-coding RNA (544 nucleotides) under Androctonus crassicauda. Lineage: Eukaryota; Metazoa; Arthropoda; Arachnida; Scorpiones; Buthidae. The record is from RNAcentral.
AGGGAAUAAAAUAAAAUAGAAAGGGUUCGAGAAUGUACAGAAUUUUAUAGUCGCAAAAGUCUAUAUACAGUAUGCAAAACUUUAUCCCAUGUGAUAAAAUUGCAUAAUAGAGGAGUGUUUUAUGUGCCUAGCAUCAUUUUAUGCUUGCUACGAGUACUAUUAGCACUGUUAGUAUUAAUACCUGUAAUAAAAUGGCUUCCAGGAAGGAAAUAUCACAAGAUCUGCGAAAUGUUAUAGUUAAGCUUAAAAAUAAAAAAACUUUUGGAGAAAUAGCAAAAAUUGUUGGAAAGAUUCAUUUAAGGGUGCAACAAUCAUAUAGAAUGUUGUUAUUAAUGGAAAUGUUUACAAUAAAGCGAGAACUGGAUGUCCAAGGAAGCUAAAUGAACGAGAUGCUCGGUUUAUCAGAAGAAUAGUAUGUAUUAAUCUGAGAUUAAGUGGUCCAAAUUUAGCCAAAGACCUUGCAGCAGUAACAGGAAAGACAGUUCAUCCUGAAACAGUAAGAAAGGUUUUGUGAUUUUCAGGGAGACACAGAAGCAUGCCAAGG